CUAGCUGAAGCCAAGAGCAGCUGUGGAGACGAAACGUUUAUGCCCUAGAAGAGACCCUUCACAGACCUCUAAAAGGAUCUUUGUUGGCUGGGGCAAGCCGAGGGGGAGGCAAGGAGGGUGACGCCAAGCCUCAGCUACAGGUCACUUUUACAGGUUGAGUGCUUCCUGUCAUCCAGUGUAGAGUUUCCACUUAACUGUACCCUCAGCAAAACUAAAUCCUCAUGAGGAAUUUGGUGCAGAGAGUGGUUCUGUGGGGACCGUGAUGUAUUACGUCACAAAAAACAGCCACUCCCCAAUAGGGAAUGUGUAAUUAAUAGUUUUUUUGUAGCCAUCCGUCCAACACAAAUGCAUCAUUAAAGGGGAAGAUGGAUAUUGCACUCAACACAAGAUAUGUUCAUCAUUCAUCAGUUCUCACUUCCCUGGACUUCAACCUUGCUACACACAUGGUAUCGUUAUUAAUCGAAACAAAGACAGAUAUCUUUAUAUUUUUGUUCUCUGCAGACAAACAAAAAAUGUUAGCUGUUGCAAAGCAAUUUGGUGAGUUAGCAAAUGAUACUACUCGAGAAGUUAGGCAGAAGGAGUGCUAUACUGGGAUUAUAGAAACUUAUAAGAUGUCUCUUAAACAUUCACAAUGUGCAGAAUGAACUAACUGUUUUAAAAUAGUAUGUGGUAAAUGUUUUUUUUCCAAGGGCGUUUUGACUUGCCUCAGCCACUGUAUGUCUGUUAAACAUGCAAACAGCAAAGGACCCCAGACCUGAAAGACCUUCUGAGGAGUGGAUAUUGGCCAGCUUCAAUAAACAACACCACACUUUACACACUGGACCUCCUGAUCUCCUUUCAAGAACUCAAGGUCAUCUCUCCAAGAUUUUCCAGACAAGCCUUCGCAAAGCUGCUGGAGCAUCGCACGAAGUGUGGAGGAAGAUUUGGAUAUAUCAACGGCAAUGCACUGCAAUGCAGCUUCUUGGAGUUUUCAUACGCUUAAUUUGAAUCAGACCAGCUCUGGUGUGGUGCUCCUUUCACCUGCCCAGCCUGAACGCUAGAAUUGUUGGCUGCUUCAGCAGAUCGAAACAGAAAGCUAUAUCGCUUUUGCCGAAACAGAAGACUGUGGCUUGCAAAUAUUGGCCAUUUGAAGAAAGUUGCUAGUGUCCUUCCUGAUCUUCAGGAGCUGACCUCAAUGAAACCUUUCCUUAAUGUUAUGCAUGCUUGAGCCACACAAAAAAGUUUGAGAUUAAAUGAAGUGGUAGGAACCAGGAAGGAACAGGGACAACCACCGGUGAGUGGAGCAAGUGAACAGCUACCUUUCACGUUGUGCCCGUACAACCAAAUAUAUGUCCAAAGCAGGGGUGGACAUGCUUACAUUGCAUGCAAUGGGCUGGAACCAUAAAAAAGUAUCUCUCUACAUCAGGCACUUUCCACAAUAUAUGUGAAAACAUCCAGCACGAGACUGCAAGGCUAGCAGAACUAAAAACAAAGCUACAUCCCACAGAUAAAGGAACGUCACAAUGGCUUUCUGAUGUGAAAGAAUGGGUAGCUCGUGAGACAUCAGAAACAUCUCAUGCCAGUCAAGGCACCACACACAGAAAACUUCAGCAGUCAAUUGAGGGGCUUUAUCUUAGUGUGAUGCUGCGCAAGCAGACUCUCUACUGUCAGAAUGACAACAGCAAGCUUUGCCACCGCCUUCAAAGGAAGCUGGCAGAUGACAAAAGCUCCUUCUUCAGGAGAUACAGAAAUACAAUGAUCUUGUACUAGACUCUGCCACAAACAUCAUUGACCUAGCUUUGGUGGAGCAUUCCCUCACUGGAGAGAGCAGUGUGUCUCAGAUAUGACCGUGGGACCUUCAUGGCAGUGCAAACAUUUCAGUCAAGAAACGAUUGCAUGACCAAGUGAUGUUGACAAUGGGACUGCACGAGGAAAGGGGCAUUGUGGUGUUGGAGAUGGCUCAACAAUACACAUGGUUGCAGAGCCUGGCAGUGGCUCUCAAGAACAAGAUGGCUGAGGAGGACAAGGGAAAUGAAGGACUUUGCUGUCUCUUAAGAAGAAGAUCGUCAGUGGUGUCAGAAGGGUUACAAGUCGUCCUUCAACAAUACAAGACUGCAUUAGGUCUUGAGGCCUCUGUCCUUCUACAUGUUGAAGAAGAAGAUCAAAGUGACCUCAGCAGUCCAGAUACCAGCGAGGAUGAAGAGGAAAACAUAAUUUAGAUAGAAACUGCACAAAGGACUGCGUUUAAGGAAAUGGACUUGGCAUAUAUCUGUGUAGUGUUAGUAUGCUAACUACAUUAUUAUCUGUAUGCAUCCUAUAUUGUUAAAAUGUUCAACCUGUGUCUAGAUUAUCAAGCAUGUUAUUUAGCACGUUGAUGCUCCUUAAAUAUGCACAAACAUAUCAAUAUAGGUGUAACAAUCGUAUGAUAUUAUCAGAUG
Misgurnus anguillicaudatus (oriental weatherfish) is the source of this 2417-nucleotide non-coding RNA. The record is from RefSeq and is a predicted model, not a curated record. NCBI's taxonomy places the organism in Eukaryota, Metazoa, Chordata, Actinopteri, Cypriniformes, Cobitidae.